AGAGAUCAUUCGACAGGUCCAA
RNAcentral lists this microRNA (22 nucleotides) under Caenorhabditis remanei. Its description in RNAcentral is "crm-miR-58d". Its record names the gene crm-miR-58d. The record is from miRBase by way of RNAcentral. Lineage: Eukaryota; Metazoa; Nematoda; Chromadorea; Rhabditida; Rhabditidae.